UCUAGUGACCAUAGCGAGCGUGUACCACCUGAUCCCAUCUCGAACUCAGAAGUGAAACCGCUUAGCGCCGAUGAUAGUGUGGAUUCCCAUGUGAAAGUAGGACAUCGCUAGAU
This 113-nucleotide ribosomal RNA is filed under the name Arenicella sp. RNAcentral also lists the same sequence under 1 other name. The record is from RNAcentral. Lineage: Bacteria; Pseudomonadati; Pseudomonadota; Gammaproteobacteria; Arenicellales; Arenicellaceae.